GGGGUCUAUGGGCUCGUUAUAGGCGACUGGGCACCUCCCGGGGUGGCCAGCCUUGCUGAAUUAUUCCACCCGUGUCUUUUGCGUACUUCUUGUUUCCUUGGUGGGCUCGCCCACCACAAGGACCAACCCAUAAACCUUUUUGUAAUAGCAAUCAGCGUCAGUAACAAUGUAAUAAUUUACAACUUUCAACAACGGAUCUCUUGGUUCUGGCAUCGAUGAAGAACGCAGCGAAAUGCGAUAAGUAGUGUGAAUUGCAGAAUUCAGUGAAUCAUCGAAUCUUUGAACGCACAUUGCGCCCUUUGGUAUUCCAAAGGGCAUGCCUGUUCGAGCGUCAUUUGUACCCUCAAGCUUUGCUUGGUGUUGGGCGUCUUUUUGUCU
This 378-nucleotide ribosomal RNA is filed under the name Alternaria solani. RNAcentral's name for it is "partial 18S ribosomal RNA". The stretch from base 181 to 334 matches the Rfam family "5.8S ribosomal RNA". The record is from RNAcentral. Lineage: Eukaryota; Fungi; Ascomycota; Dothideomycetes; Pleosporales; Pleosporaceae.